UCGAACGGCAGCACGGGGGCAACCCUGGUGGCGAGUGGCGAACGGGUGAGUAAUGCAUCGGAACGUGCCCAGUAGUGGGGGAUAACCCGGCGAAAGCCGGGCUAAUACCGCAUACGACCUAAGGGUGAAAGCGGGGGACCGUAAGGCCUCGCGCUAUUGGAGCGGCCGAUGUCUGAUUAGCUAGUUGGCGGGGUAAGAGCCCACCAAGGCGACGAUCAGUAGCUGGUCUGAGAGGACGACCAGCCACACUGGGACUGAGACACGGCCCAGACUCCUACGGGAGGCAGCAGUGGGGAAUUUUGGACAAUGGGCGCAAGCCUGAUCCAGCCAUGCCGCGUGCGGGAAGAAGGCCUUCGGGUUGUAAACCGCUUUUGGCAGGAACGAAACGGCGCGAGCAAAUAUCUCGCGCUAAUGACGGUACCUGCAGAAUAAGCACCGGCUAACUACGUGCCAGCAGCCGCGGUAAUACGUAGGGUGCAAGCGUUA
Molecule: ribosomal RNA, 486 nt
Filed under: uncultured bacterium
Lineage: Bacteria
Description: bacterial SSU rRNA
Rfam family: Bacterial small subunit ribosomal RNA
Source: RNAcentral